Molecule: ribosomal RNA, 491 nt
Filed under: uncultured bacterium
Lineage: Bacteria
Description: partial 16S ribosomal RNA
Rfam family: Bacterial small subunit ribosomal RNA
Source: RNAcentral
AGUGAACGCUGGCGGUAGGCCUAACACAUGCAAGUCGAACGGCAGCACAGUAAGAGCUUGCUCUUACGGGUGGCGAGUGGCGGACGGGUGAGGAAUACAUCGGAAUCUACUUUUUCGUGGGGGAUAACGUAGGGAAACUUACGCUAAUACCGCAUACGACCUACGGGUGAAGCAGGGGAUCUUCGGCCCUUGCGCGAUUGAAUGAGCCGAUGUCGGAUUAGCUAGUUGGCGGGGUAAAGGCCCACCAAGGCGACGAUCCGUAGCUGGUCUGAGAGGAUGAUCAGCCACACUGGAACUGAGACACGGUCCAGACUCCUACGGGAGGCAGCAGUGGGGAAUAUUGGACAAUGGGCGCAAGCCUGAUCCAGCCAUACCGCGUGGGUGAAGAAGGCCUUCGGGUUGUAAAGCCCUUUUGUUGGGAAAGAAAAGCAGCAGGUUAAUACCCCGCUGUUCUGACGGUACCCAAAGAAUAAGCACCGGCUAACUUCGUG